Molecule: ribosomal RNA, 301 nt
Filed under: uncultured bacterium
Lineage: Bacteria
Description: partial 16S ribosomal RNA
Rfam family: Bacterial small subunit ribosomal RNA
Source: RNAcentral
CAGUCGCCGCGGUAAUACGGAGGGUGCAAGCGUUAAUUGGAAUUACUGGGCGUAAAGCGCACGCAGGCGGUCUGACAAGUCAGAUGUGAAAUCCCCGGGCUUAACCUGGGAACUGCAUUUGAAACUGUCAGGCUGGAGUCUUGUAGAGGGGGGUGGAAUUCCAGGUGUAGCGGUGAAAUGCGUAGAGAUCUGGAGGAAUACCGGUGGCGAAGGCGGCCCCCUGGACAAAGACUGACGCUCAGGUGCGAAAGCGUGGGGAGCAAACAGGAUUAGAUACCCGUGUAGUCCCUGUCUCUUAUAC